This 497-nucleotide ribosomal RNA is filed under the name uncultured bacterium. Its description in RNAcentral is "partial 16S ribosomal RNA". It matches the Rfam family "Bacterial small subunit ribosomal RNA", at positions 28 to 507 of the family's 1533-position model. The record is from RNAcentral.
GAUGAACGCUGGCGGCGUGCCUAAUACAUGCAAGUCGAGCGAACAGACGAGGAGCUUGCUCCUCUGACGUUAGCGGCGGACGGGUGAGUAAUACGUGGAUAACCUACCUAUAAGACUGGGAUAACUUCGGGAAACCGGAGCUAAUACCGGAUAAUAUAUUGAACCGCAUGGUUCAAUAGUGAAAGACGGUUUUGCUGUCACUUAUAGAUGGAUCCGCGCCGCAUUAGCUAGUUGGUAAGGUAACGGCUUACCAAGGCAACGAUGCGUAGCCGACCUGAGAGGGUGAUCGGCCACACUGGAACUGAGACACGGUCCAGACUCCUACGGGAGGCAGCAGUAGGGAAUCUUCCGCAAUGGGCGAAAGCCUGACGGAGCAACGCCGCGUGAGUGAUGAAGGUCUUCGGAUCGUAAAACUCUGUUAUUAGGGAAGAACAAAUGUGUAAGUAACUAUGCACGUCUUGACGGUACCUAAUCAGAAAGCCACGGCCAACUACGUG